AUUGAACGCUGGCGGCAGGCUUAACACAUGCAAGUCGAACGAUGAUUAUCUAGCUUGCUAGAUAUGAUUAAUGGCGGACGGGUGAGUAACAUUUAGGAAUCUGCCUAGUAGUGGGGGAUAGCUCGGGGAAACUCGAAUUAAUACCGCAUACGACCUACGGGUGAAAGGGGGCGCAAGCUCUUGCUAUUAGAUGAGCCUAAAUCAGAUUAGCUAGUUGGUGGGGUAAAGGCCCACCAAGGCGACGAUCUGUAACUGGUCUGAGAGGAUGAUCAGUCACACCGGAACUGAGACACGGUCCGGACUCCUACGGGAGGCAGCAGUGGGGAAUAUUGGACAAUGGGGGCAACCCUGAUCCAGCCAUGCCGCGUGUGUGAAGAAGGCCUUUUGGUUGUAAAGCACUUUAAGCAGGGAGGAGAGGCUAAUGGUUAAUACCCAUUAGAUUAGACGUUACCUGCAGAAUAAGCACCGGCUAACUCUGUGCCAGCAGCCGCGGUAAUACAGAGGGUGCGAGCGUUAAUCGGAAUUACUGGGCGUAAAGCGAGUGUAGGUGGCUCAUUAAGUCACAUGUGAAAUCCCCGGGCUUAACCUGGGAACUGCAUGUGAUACUGGUGGUGCUAGAAUAUGUGAGAGGGAAGUAGAAUUCCAGGUGUAGCGGUGAAAUGCGUAGAGAUCUGGAGGAAUACCGAUGGCGAAGGCAGCUUCCUGGCAUAAUAUUGACACUGAGAUUCGAAAGCGUGGGUAGCAAACAGGAUUAGAUACCCUGGUAGUCCACGCCGUAAACGAUGUCUACUAGCCGUUGGGGUCCUUGAGACUUUAGUGGCGCAGUUAACGCGAUAAGUAGACCGCCUGGGGAGUACGGCCGCAAGGUUAAAACUCAAAUGAAUUGACGGGGGCCCGCACAAGCGGUGGAGCAUGUGGUUUAAUUCGAUGCAACGCGAAGAACCUUACCUGGUCUUGACAUAGUGAGAAUCCUGCAGAGAUGCGGGAGUGCCUUCGGGAAUUCACAUACAGGUGCUGCAUGGCUGUCGUCAGCUCGUGUCGUGAGAUGUUGGGUUAAGUCCCGCAACGAGCGCAACCCUUUUCCUUAUUUGCCAGCGGGUUAAGCCGGGAACUUUAAGGAUACUGCCAGUGACAAACUGGAGGAAGGCGGGGACGACGUCAAGUCAUCAUGGCCCUUACGACCAGGGCUACACACGUGCUACAAUGGUAGGUACAGAGGGUUGCUACACAGCGAUGUGAUGCUAAUCUCAAAAAGCCUAUCGUAGUCCGGAUUGGAGUCUGCAACUCGACUCCAUGAAGUCGGAAUCGCUAGUAAUCGCAGAUCAGAAUGCUGCGGUGAAUACGUUCCCGGGCCU
RNAcentral lists this ribosomal RNA (1355 nucleotides) under uncultured bacterium. RNAcentral's name for it is "bacterial SSU rRNA". It matches the Rfam family "Bacterial small subunit ribosomal RNA", at positions 28 to 1381 of the family's 1533-position model. The record is from RNAcentral.